Molecule: ribosomal RNA, 464 nt
Filed under: uncultured bacterium
Lineage: Bacteria
Description: partial 16S ribosomal RNA
Rfam family: Bacterial small subunit ribosomal RNA
Source: RNAcentral
GACGAACGCUGGCGGCGUGCUUAACACAUGCAAGUCGAACGGAAAGGCCCUGCUUGCAGGGUACUCGAGUGGCGAACGGGUGAGUAACACGUGGGUGAUCUGCCCUGCACUUCGGGAUAAGCCUGGGAAACUGGGUCUAAUACCGGAUAGGAGCCAUUUUUAGUGUGAUGGUUGGAAAGUUUUUUCGGUGUAGGAUGAGCUCGCGGCCUAUCAGCUUGUUGGUGGGGUAAUGGCCUACCAAGGCGGCGACGGGUAGCCGGCCUGAGAGGGUGGACGGCCACAUUGGGACUGAGAUACGGCCCAGACGCCUACGGGAGGCAGAAGUGGGGAAUAUUGCACAAUGGGCGCAAGCCUGAUGCAGCGAAGCCGCGUGGGGGAUGACGGCCUUCGGGUUGUAAACUCCUUUCGCUAGGGACGAAGCUUUUGUGACGGUAACUAGAUAAGAAGCACCGGCUAACUACGUG